AUGCACUGCCGCUCAUCCUCUCUUUGGUCUUGGUUCCUCUCCACCGGUGAGCCGUAUCACGGCGGCGCUGCGAAGAUGGCCGACGGCGCUGUUCAGUGUUUCGUGGAAAAGAAAUAUCAAACGGAAUCCAAACGGAAUAAAACCUUCGCGAGGAUCACUUUUGGAAUAAACGCAAUCCAGGAGACUUGGAGUGGAUGUCAAGAAAGCAGCGAGGAAGUCAUGAGGCAGGAGGGCGCGCCCCAAGGGAUUGGGCGCGAGCCCCACCCUCGUGGGCCCCUCGCAGCUCCACCAACCUACUUCUUUCUCCUAUAUAUACUCUUAUACCCUGAAACCAAUGGGGAGAGCCAAGAAACACCUUUUCCACCGCCACAACCUUCUGUACCCAUGAGAUCCCAUCUUGGGGCGUUUUUCGGCGCUCCGCCGGAGGUGGAUUCGAUCACGGAGGGCUUCUACAUCAACACCAUAGCCUCUCCGAUGAUGUGUGAGUAG
RNAcentral lists this ribosomal RNA (489 nucleotides) under Triticum aestivum (bread wheat). RNAcentral's name for it is "partial small subunit ribosomal RNA". The record is from RNAcentral. Lineage: Eukaryota; Viridiplantae; Streptophyta; Magnoliopsida; Poales; Poaceae.